Molecule: long non-coding RNA, 659 nt
Organism: Mustela erminea (ermine)
Lineage: Eukaryota; Metazoa; Chordata; Mammalia; Carnivora; Mustelidae
Exons: 3
Source: RefSeq, a predicted model, not a curated record
GAAGUUUGCAUGGUUCUCUUGGCAUCUCUGAAUCACACCGGACAAGAGCUCGCCCAAAGUCAGCAAUGACACCAACAAGAGCAAGAUGCAUGGGCAGAGUGGCAAGGAACGAGAAAAAUGGCCUGAGGUCAACAGUGUAGCAGCAACAAUGCAGAAGCCACAGAACAGGUGAAAGCGGAUGACACUGAACUUCCGUGAGGAACAGAUACGGCCGGGAGGCCCAACGCUGACUUCCUGUAGCUGACUGGCUCCAAUGCGAGGGUGAAGUAAUUUCUUUCCUCUGUGAUUUAUUUGCCAACCAUCAGUAAGCAAAACUACCAUGAAGAAAGGAGCAAAGUGCGAUUCACAGUGAAUCCUUCUCAAGAACAGGACUCCAGAGUGACAGAGCAGGUAAAACGGGGUCCUGUGUACCAAGAAGCUUGAGAAUCAAGCUCCACGUUCAUACCUAUUUCCGUGUAAUAACAACAGAGUUUUUAGUAAAACUCUGUGCCAGGUACAUAGUGUGAAGAGCUUUACAUGCAUUAUCUCACUGCACCAAAAGGAUCAUCCACAUUUUACAGAUGAAGACACUGGGGUUUACGGAGGUUAAAAAACCUGCAUACAAGGCUAAUAAAACUUGACUCAAGGCACGGGCACUGCUUGGCCUCCAAAGACCACUC